RNAcentral lists this long non-coding RNA (596 nucleotides) under Vulpes vulpes (red fox). RNAcentral describes it as "lncRNA (ENSVVUG00000026162.1)". Lineage: Eukaryota; Metazoa; Chordata; Mammalia; Carnivora; Canidae. The record is from RNAcentral.
CGCCCGAGCCGAGCGGGCGAGCGGAGCUGCGGGGAGCGCGGGCGAAGGCGGCAGGAGGGAGGGCGCGCGGGAGGCGGCCCCUCCUCGGCGAGCCAUGCGUGCCGCGGGCAGCUGAGGAGCCGCCGGGCGCCGCUGCCAAGUCCCCGCUCCGCUUUUGUCUUGCCCUCCAGUGAAUGGGAAGAUGGANCCCAGCAGCGGCCCCAGCCCCAGCCCCAGCAGCGGCCCCAGCCCCAGCAGCGGCCCCAGCAGCUGGCUCAGGAUGAAGUGCCCGGCGAGAGUGCGGGCGCGGAGGACAGCGACGAUCCCGAGGCGACACCCGGCAGCGACAGAGGCGAGAGCAAGACUUUGAGACCUCUGGGCGGUCUUAGACUUCACCUGGAGCCUCCUGUCCAGGAUGCGACCACCUAGGGAAAUUCCAGGGAAAGGUGGCAGAGAUAUCAUGGACUGAAAGGUGAUGGGUACCCCAAUGAGUUCACUACAAGAUCUCAAAGAUUCCAAGCCAUUGGCUGCUCCAAAGCAUAAAGCCACCCUUCUGGAGAGGCGGCAGGAAGGAAGCCUGGAGGAGGUGAGGAAACAUCACUCUUCCCUCUGCCCUU